This 492-nucleotide ribosomal RNA is filed under the name uncultured bacterium. RNAcentral's name for it is "partial 16S ribosomal RNA". It matches the Rfam family "Bacterial small subunit ribosomal RNA", at positions 29 to 507 of the family's 1533-position model. The record is from RNAcentral.
AGUGAACGCUGGCGGUAGGCCUAACACAUGCAAGUCGAACGGCAGCACAGUAAGAGCUUGCUCUUACGGGUGGCGAGUGGCGGACGGGUGAGGAAUACAUCGGAAUCUACUUUUUCGUGGGGGAUAACGUAGGGAAACUUACGCUAAUACCGCAUACGACCUACGGGUGAAAGCAGGGGAUCUUCGGACCUUUCGCGAUUGAAUGAGCCGAUGUCGGAUUAGCUAGUUGGGGGGGUAAAGGCCCACCAAGGCGACGAUGCGUAGCUGGUCUGAGAGGAUGAUCAGCCACACUGGAACUGAGACACGGUCCAGACUCCUACGGGAGGCAGCAGUGGGGAAUAUUGGACAAUGGGCGCAAGCCUGAUCCAGCCAUACCGCGUGGGUGAAGAAGGCCUUCGGGUUGUAAAGCCCUUUUGUUGGGAAAGAAAAGCAGCAGAUUAAUACCCCGCUGUUCUGACGGUACCCAAAGAAUAAGCACCGGCUAACUUCGUG